This 71-nucleotide transfer RNA is filed under the name Stegodyphus mimosarum. It matches the Rfam family "tRNA". Rfam says of the family: Transfer RNA (tRNA) molecules are approximately 80 nucleotides in length. The record is from Rfam by way of RNAcentral. Lineage: Eukaryota; Metazoa; Arthropoda; Arachnida; Araneae; Eresidae.
GCCUUCGUGGUGUAACGGUAACACACUCGGCGUGUAUUCCAGAGGUCCAGGUUCGAGUCCCGGCGAGGACA